Molecule: ribosomal RNA, 472 nt
Filed under: Nomadacris succincta (Bombay locust)
Lineage: Eukaryota; Metazoa; Arthropoda; Insecta; Orthoptera; Acrididae
Description: partial 16S ribosomal RNA
Rfam family: Archaeal large subunit ribosomal RNA
Source: RNAcentral
GUCCUCUUGAAAAUAUUUUGAGGUCUGGCCUGCUCACUGAGCUGAUUUUAAAGAGCCGCGGUAUUUUGACCGUGCAAAGGUAGCAUAAUCAUUAGUCUCUUAAUUGGUGGCUGGAAUGAAUGGCUUGACGAGAAAUCAACUGUCUCUUAAUAAUUUUUUGAAUUUAACUUUUAAGUCAAAAGGCUUAAAUUUAUCUUUAGGACGAGAAGACCCUAUAGAGCUUGACAUUUUAUUUUUAUAUAGUUUUUUGUUGAUCUUUCUAUAUUUAAUGAUAAUGUUUUGUUGGGGUGACAUGAAGAAUAAAUAAACUCUUCAUUAUUAUAUCAUUGAUUUAUGUUUGUUAUUUUGAUCCAUAAUUUAUGAUCAUAAGAUUAAGUUACCUUAGGGAUAACAGCGUAAUUGUUUUUGAGAGCUCAUAUCGACAAAGCAGAUUGCGACCUCGAUGUUGGAUUAAGAAAAAUUUUGGGUGCAG